AUACCUACUUCAUAGUUCAUGCGUUGUGCACUUACCUAUAUUAUAUUUUAUCAAUGGUACAAGACAUAUUUAGACAACACAAAUUUGCUCGACACUCGUGUGUCAAAAUGUUUUUAAUAAGACGUAGAAUAAAACUAAAUUAUCUACAAAAAUUGAAGUGUUCAAAUGCAAGUAAUAACGAGAUCACAAUGAAUACGUGCUCUGAUAUAUUAAAAGACUUUGAAUCGGGACCACUAGAUGUUUAUAGAAAAAAUUCUACAAUCAACUGGAAAAAAAUGAGAGUUUUCAUAGAAUCUGAAGAUAUUUUACGAUACAAGAUGAGAGCUUGGAAAACGUUUGAAUCUGAUCCACUAUUCCAACAUUCUAAUGAAACUUUACCAUUAGAUGAACAACGAAGAUUAGCAUUAUUAAGAAUGUAUAGAAUUGUAGAAUCAAAAGUAUUUCCAUUUGAAGAAAUAAUGUCUAGUCCCAAACUGGCUUUAGCAAAAAUAGUAGCAAUGUUUCAAUAUUGUCCGUCUGUUGCAAUAAAAGUCGGAUUGACUUUUGACAUGUUCUCUAAUGUCAUAUUCAGUAUGGAUAAUGGAAGAAAUUCUAAUCUAUAUGAAAAUGCUCAGGAAGGAAAAGUUCCUGGUUGUUUUGCACUUACAGAAAUUUCACAUGGUACAAAUACUAAGGAAAUGAGAACUACAGCUUUAUAUGACAAUAAUUUAAAACAGUUUAUUUUACAUACUCCUGAUUUUGAAGCAGCAAAAUGUUGGGUUGGUAGUUUAGGAAAAUCAAGUACACACGCAAUAAUAUGGGCCAAAUUAAUCAUGAGUAAUGGUGAUGAUCAUGGAUUACAUGCAUUUGUAGUAAAUAUACGAGAUCCAAAAACAAUGUUACCUUACUCUGGAGUCAUAGUUGGUGACUUAGGAGAAAAAGCCAGUUUGAAUGGUGUUGAUAAUGGAUUUAUAAUGUUUAACAAGUUUUGUAUACCAAAAGAAAGUUUACUGAGUAAAACUGGAGACAUAAAUGAAGAUGGAAAAUAUGUUUCGCCGUUUAAGGAUAAAUCAAAACGAUUAGGAGCUUCUUUGGGCAGUUUAUCAGUUGGACGAUUAAGUAUUGUAAAUAUAUGUGUAGCAUACAUCACAAAAGCUGUUCCAAUAGCUAUAAGAUAUACAGGUGUUAGGAAACAGUUUGGACCCCCUAAUGGUGAUGAGUUACCAGUCUUAGAGUAUCAAUUAGUACAAUGUAGAUUGAUCCCAAAUUUGGCAGCUGCAUAUGCAUUAAAAAUUUAUGGUGAUUACGUGGCUAAUGUAUAUGAAUCAUUUUUAAUUGAGAUGUUCUCCAACAGUGGUUCAGAAAAAAUUAGAUUGCUUGGCACAGAGAUACAUGCAAUAUCUAGUUGUACCAAACCUAUAGCUGCGUGGACAUGUCGAGAUGCAAUACAAGAGUGUAGAGAAGCAUGCGGUGGUCACGGUUAUUUAAAAGCUGCUGGGCUUAGUGAACUGCGUAAUGCAAAUGAUGCUAACUGCACAUAUGAAGGUGAUAAUAAUGUAUUAGUACAACAAACCAGUAAUUGGCUAUUAAAUAUAUGGACAAAUUUACUGAAUGGAAAUACAAGUUGUUGUGAUACUCCAUUGGGUACUAUAGAGUUUCUUAAAGAUGUGAAAACUAUACUAAGUGAAAAAUUCAAAUUAUCUAGAGUAGAUGAAGUAUUCACUCAUAUGCAUUUACUAUCUUGUUUUCAAUGGAUGAUAUGCUAUCUAUUACGUCAGACAUAUGCACAAUUGCAACUAUUAAAAGAUCAAAGAAAAGAUUUAUUUACAGCGAAAAAUGAUUCCCAAAUGUUCUUUGCUAGGGAUCUGUCAAUAGUAUUUGCUGAAUACUUAAUUUUGAAAAAGUUUAUUGAAACAACAUCAUCUCCAAAUUUAGAUGAUGCACACAAAGUAGUAUUACAUAAACUUGCUUCACUUUAUGGAUUUUGGCUAGUUGAAAAACAUUUGUCAAUUAUGUAUGAAGGUGGCUAUGCUAAUGGGCCAUUAGCAUCUGUAAUAGUUAAAGGAUCCAUAAUAGAUUUAUGUUCAAGUCUUAAAAAUGAAGCAGUGACGCUUGCUGAUGCUAUAGUGCCUCCAGAUUUUAUUCUUAAUUCAGUGCUGGCUGCUUCAAAUGGACGGGUUUAUGAUAACUUAAAAGAUUUAUUAUUUGAAGAUAAAUCGACAUUUGAAAGACCUACUUGGUGGACAGAGAUAGCAGUACGAUCGAAAUUAUAAAUUUAAGGAUAGUAAGAAGCAGUUAUUUUAACACGUUGACUGCAUAUGUUUUUUUGCAGUUUUCACCCAGUGCAUUUGGUUAGAGCAUCAAAUGCAUUGCUGAUUGAUCCUCAUAACGCAAAUUUGCGUUAAUAUGUAGUCAACGUGUUAAGUAUCGAAUUUGUAAAACUAACUAGGUUUAUUCAAGUUUUUUUUUUGUCAAAGGUUCUUUUUUAUUAUGAAUAAGUAUUAUUGGUUUUAAUCUAUAUUUUUGUUUUAAAUUACAUGGUUUUUU
This 2526-nucleotide unclassified non-coding RNA is filed under the name Acyrthosiphon pisum (pea aphid). Its description in RNAcentral is "peroxisomal acyl-coenzyme A oxidase 3, transcript variant X10". Lineage: Eukaryota; Metazoa; Arthropoda; Insecta; Hemiptera; Aphididae. The record is from RNAcentral.